Molecule: long non-coding RNA, 208 nt
Filed under: Mytilus galloprovincialis (Mediterranean mussel)
Lineage: Eukaryota; Metazoa; Mollusca; Bivalvia; Mytilida; Mytilidae
Source: RNAcentral
CGGGAGUGUUUUAGUGUUCUCAAAAUCUUAUAUUGAUAAAAAUGACAACUCCUUUAAAUAAUUGAAUGUACAUGUACAGGAAGACAAACGAUUACCGCACGUUCUAGAGACAUGCCACGAACUAAGUAUCAUCUUCGUGUCAUAAUUGCGCAUGCUUGUCUCUUCACAUACAAGUAAACGCAAAUUUUCUAAUAGGCAAAAUAUUUCG